CUCCCUUCUCUGCCUCCUUCCCUCCCUCCUUCCCUCCCUCUCUCCUCUCUAGCUUUCUCUCUUUCUCCCUUUCUUUCUUUCUCUAUUGCAGGCAGCAUAUAUUCCGGUUUUGUUCUGUUUUUUCUCUCUCCUUCUUUGAGGAUGAGGACACAGCCACUGCCCUCUGUCAAUUACUGCCAUCUCUUCAGUGACAAGCCUGAAAGAAUUUUCCAGAUGCAUGGCAGAGAAAAAAACAGUCCUCUAACACAGGGGUGGUGCUUCUGGUUGUCGGAACUUAGGACCAGAAAGGGAGGAAACCACUGUAUGGAAAGAAGGACCUGAGAAAUGCGUUGUAUUGAAAAAAAAAAAUUGUCACUGUGUCUGUUCUUAUAAUGAGCAAAUGUAAGGUUGUUGCUGUUUGUGUUUUUGGAUCAUUUAAAGUGGGUCUUUAUAAAAGCCAAGAAGAAGUUUGAUUUUUUUCCUACCUUGCUCUGCUUCUGUAUCUUGUUUUUGGAUAAAUCUUCCAAUAGCUUCCCACCUGAACCUGAUCCUAAUUCCAGAAACACAAAGCCUGGAUUCUUUGUGUUCCCCACGCUUAUUCUGUCUUUCCAUGAGCUCAGUUGGUAAAUCCCACAGUGAAGCAAGCAUAAACACAAACUAGGCGGGAUUAGACCACACUAUUCAGUUAAUCUUAGUUUACAAAACCCCUUCUUUCUUUGUCUGACAGGCUGCCACAGAAAUUCAGCAAAUGCAAUUUGCAGACUAAAUGUGAGAACUUUCUGCACUAUGGGUAGGAAAUAUCUACUCGCUGUCAUAAGCUCUCUCUCUUCGAGAAACCUCAGGGAUAUUUCCCAAGGUGAAGGAUGUCUACAGUGAGUUCUUUGAAUCAUCAUCAUGAUGGAAAAGAGCACACUGUGUUUCCUUCCAAAAUUUAAGCUGCACAACCUCCAAGAAUCUUGACAUGUGUAAAUAAGACUACCAAGAAAGGGGCCUCACACCAGUGUCCACCCUCCAACUCAGCCCCUUCUCCCCAUGUUUAAAGAAUUUGUAUCUCUGGAUCCAGUGACAAUAAUACUGGGAGGACUUUAACCAAAGUACUUUGAGUUCUAGGAGGAGGAACAAAGGAUGGUUUUCUAUAGCAUGUUCAUAUAACUGAACAUCCAUUAAAUAAUUGGUGUGCAGCUGGGAAUAAAAAUGGCUUAAGAGAGAAAAGUUCCUAUAAC
This 1202-nucleotide long non-coding RNA is filed under the name Bos indicus x Bos taurus (hybrid cattle). RNAcentral describes it as "lncRNA (ENSBIXG00000015603.1)". The record is from RNAcentral. Lineage: Eukaryota; Metazoa; Chordata; Mammalia; Artiodactyla; Bovidae.